CCUACGGGAGGCAGCAGUGAGGAAUAUUGGUCAAUGGACGAGAGUCUGAACCAGCCAAGUAGCGUGAAGGAUGACUGCCCUAUGGGUUGUAAACUUCUUUUAUAUGGGAAUAAAAUGUUCCACGUGUGGGAUUUUGUAUGUACCAUAUGAAUAAGGAUCGGCUAACUCCGUGCCAGCAGCCGCGGUAAUACGGAGGAUCCGAGCGUUAUCCGGAUUUAUUGGGUGUAAAGGGUGCGUAGGUGGAUUGUUAAGUCAGUUGUGAAAGUUUGCGGCUCAACCGUAAAAUUGCAGUUGAAGCUGGCAGUCUUGAGUACAGUAGAGGUGGGCGGAAUUCGUGGUGUAGCGGUGAAAUGCUUAGAUAUCACGAAGAACUCCGAUUGCGAAGGCAGUUCACUGGACUGCAACUGACACUGAGGCUCGAAAGUGUGGGUAUCAAACAGGAUUAGAUACCCUAGUAGUC
Molecule: ribosomal RNA, 460 nt
Filed under: uncultured bacterium
Lineage: Bacteria
Description: partial 16S ribosomal RNA
Rfam family: Bacterial small subunit ribosomal RNA
Source: RNAcentral